RNAcentral lists this long non-coding RNA (4940 nucleotides) under Ornithorhynchus anatinus (platypus). RNAcentral's name for it is "lncRNA (ENSOANG00000048190.1)". Lineage: Eukaryota; Metazoa; Chordata; Mammalia; Monotremata; Ornithorhynchidae. The record is from RNAcentral.
AUGCCAAGAGGAGAGCGAAGAUGGCCACAGAGAGUGGCCUCCUCAGAGUCUUUACCCUGUCCAGGUGUAAGCCCGGAUGCGUCACUCACUGCCUGCCCGUUUCCCCUCGACUGUGCUAUGUCUAGUCUCCUAACCUGCUGGGGGCCCUCAGGAGAUAGAAGCCAGCCUCCCGGCCCUUCAAAAGGGACGCUCUUCCCCAAAUCAGGCACUCAGAGGGAGCGAUGGGCUCAUUCCUUCCACUCUGCAAUCAACUUGGCUGGGCGAAGUGUCGAUCCAGAUCUCAGGGAGUCAAACCUUUACAGAACAACAGCUAAUGAAAGAAGACCUUAGUGUUUCUGCAGGAACGUGCUCCGUGGAAAAAAAUACAAAACCAAAUGUCAUUUCAUUUUCUUUUAUUUCGUCUGUAACAAGAGACCUAUUCUUUACCUAUGUCUUGAGGAAAGAAAAGAAACUAAAGGCACAGUGGCCCGUAAUCAUGUUUCUGCCACUGCUCUAUCAUGGCCAUCGUAUGCUUUCAUGAAGAAAUUAAUCUAAAUUUCUCCAGUUCUGGGUUUGCACCUCUUUGUGGGGAAAGAGUUGUGGAAUAGACUUAAUGGGGAUAGUCUACUUUUUUAUGGAAACCUAGCUCUUUAUUAAGGAGGCACUUUUUUUGAAGUCGAGCCCUGAACAUUAACGUACCACAAAAUGCCAAAAGGAAUUCCCCAGCUUCCUUCCCAAGGUGCUGCAGUAAUUGGGUAAUGAAUGAUUGGGAGGGACUGAGACCCUCCUGGAAGUAGAGGUAUACAUAUUCUUUUUUUUUUCCACCUGAAAAAGUUACAGUGUUGAACGGCUCCUUUCCAGUGCUCGCACGCCCUUUUCUUUAGAACCUCCUCGGGCCUCAUGGCCAACAAGGCGGUGGGCUUGAGUGGGUAUGUGACCGCAGUGAGACUGGCAAAAUAAAGAGUCCUAUUGGAGUACUCAGUGAAUCAAGUUGCUCAGUUUCCAAGGCUUAACCUUGUCCCAUUCAUUUUCAGUGGAUUCCAGAUUGGGUGAAGGAGCGGUGGUGUGCCUUUGAAAGGGGAAAAAAAAAAAAAAGCAAGCCUGUCUAGGGACAGAAGUUUAAACAGAACAUUGCACAAAAAUUGACAAGGAAAGCUUAGCUAAAACCCAAGUCCCCUGCUGCAGUAAACUAACCUCGCCAGCUCAGUAAUAAUGUUUCAAGUUCCUCUGUGCUUCGUCUCUCAAGUGACAUGUUCCCAUUUUAAAAUACACAGGUUGUAUAAUCUUUUUAGGGCAUACAGUCAGUGCAAUAAGGAAGGGUAGUAAGUGAACAUAUCUAAAAAGACUUUCUCAGAUGGCAUUAUUAAACCAUGAUUUUGUUGUCUAAGUUAAACGCUUGAGGCUCAACUAACGCAAAUGUUUUUGCUUUCAGCUGAGAGCAUGUUUGUUGAAUUGUUAGUCUCUUUUAGGCUUUGUGUACCCCUGAAAACAGGUUGAUUUUCAUAUUUACUGGUGCCAGUUCCAUGUAACUCCAAGUGUCAUGUAAUUUUGCGUGUUUACAUUUUGGGUUUGAAUUUCUGAUCGGUUCCAUCAGUCACUGCAACUCUGCCGUUGCCCGGGGGCCAAGUUUUCCAACGGCCCCGGAGUUCCCAAAUGCAAAGCAAGCAGAGCCGAUCUUGGUCAAGCACGCCAUCCUUCCAGAUCCCUUCGUGGCUGUUUUGUGGUUUUUUUCCAGUUAUUUAUUAUUGUGAAUAACUCACUUUUUCUUACAUUCUGUUGUAAAUAAACUACCGAGCUGUCUUUCCAAGCGUGGCUCCUCCUUUCUUCAGCUGACCGGCAAGGCGGGGGCACUAGGGAAACCGGGGGCUCGGACUUGGACCUGGGGGUCUUCCCCUAGGUCUAGACACCCUUUCAUCCCAACGUCCGCACGAUCUGCGGGGCCCCGUCCUAAAGGUGGUCUCCGUUAAGCGCUUACAAUGGGCCGAGCACCUUAAUGGGCGCUGGGGUAGGUUCAAGACCCUCAGGUUGGACAGAGCCCCCGUCCCACAUGAGGCCCACGACCUAAGCAGGAAGAAGGUCAGGUAUUACUAGUUAACAUCAACAUUUCCUUUGAGCCGUUUUUGCAAUGAUCGGCGUUUGGCAAUCAAACUUAAAAUAUAAGCUCUUCAGUAGAGAGUACUUACAAAUCCUCCAGCCUUGCUUAUGCACACCAAUCUGAACUCAUCCACCAGAUCAAUCGAUGGUAUUUACUGUGUGUUUACUGUGUGCAGAGCACCGGACUAAGUGUUGGUGUGAACACAGGUUCAUCAGGUUGGACACAGUCCCUGUCUCACACAGGGCUCACAGUCUUAAUCCCCAUUUGACAGAUGAGGUCACUGAGGCACAGAGAAGUGAAGUGACUUGCCCGGGGUCUCACAGCAGACAAGUGGAGGAGGUGGGAUUCGAACCCACGUCCUUCUGACUCUCAGGCCCAUGUUCUUUUCACUAGGAAAGACUGCAGAACUUGCCUUUUAGCAUCCUCAGAGCACGACCUGAGUGUUGAGCAGUUUUCCUCUUACUCAGUGUUUUCUUAGUCUCUGUGAUCUCCCCAUAGAACUGUCUGUCCCACUCGGUUCAUUAGUAACUUGCACUCACACCGGAGUCAUCGACAACUCCUCUUUAUCGAGCUCUUACACUCUGCCCUCUAAACAGAGUAAGUUAAGGCAGGCAGCUUUGCCCAAAGUUACUGAUCAUUUUCAAAUUGGAUCUUAACCUUGGAAUGCAAUCGCUGACUAAAUCCUCCCCUCAGUCCUCUGAUAGGAUCAUUUAGAUAGGACCCGGACAAUUCUGGAUUUUAACAGAGUCCCGAAGAACUCUAAGAACAAAUGGUUCAUAAUUAAACGUCUGCAUUUAAUGCCUAAGCUGGCAGGGUUGGAGGAACUUUUGCUGAAUAAUUCCAGAGUGGGAAGGAGAAUUAUCUGAACAUCAGCAGAUGCUUUUAAUUCAAUUAACAUGGAUCAGAACUAAGCACCUCAUUACUCCAGGAUGGCUUAACAAAUGGGUCAAAGCACAAUGCUGCCUGCUACUAUUGAGAUCUCAGAGACCCACCGUUCUGUGAUGGGAAGCUGCAGCCAUUCUCCCUUCCUGCCUCCUCACAGUAGGUACCUGAUGAGAGAGUGUGGAUGGCUCACUGGGAACCAGCACCCCUACUGCAAAACAACCCUGCUAAGGUAGGCUGCAAAUCCUCCCUUCUUAAUGAUUGUGCUUAAGCCUUGUUCUCCCAAGUGAUAAAGAGCCAUAAAAGGUGUGUGGAUAAAAGGUACAAAUGGGCAAAAAAAAAAAAAAAUCCCUUCCAAAGACACUCAGGGACAGGGACAGCCUCAACACUAACAGUGCCAUCUUCAAACGAAGGACAGUUCAGCCUCUAUUUUUUUCCCCCCUUAAAAGAGGAUCUGAAGAUAAAGAUUAAAUGCCCUCCUGGGAUUUGGGAACAACAAGAAUUCCUUGACUCAACAUUUCACUUAUACGGUUGUAGUUUAACCUGCAAUUCCAGGAAUGAUUCGGAGCCACUGCUCCAACAACGAGAGCCUUUAGCUGCCUGCAGAGCGUGCCUGCGGAGCCACGUGAGAAAAGCCCAAGAAAUCCAGAAAGGAAAACAGGUCCUGUAUGUUCUGACAUAUGAUAAGGAGCCCUGGAUAGAGAGCUCAACGUCAUGUGUUGAUCUGGAACGUCGCUUUUGCUAAAUUUUAUUCAAAGGGCCUGUUGAUUAUCUCACAAUUACCAUUUUCAUAUUCCUUAUCGCUAAUUAAUAUCAUUUUGGCCUAAUGGAAAGGGCAGAUCCCUGGGAGUCAGAGAACCUGGCUUCUAAUCCUACCUCUGCCGAGUGUUUGCUGCGUGACCUUAGGCAAGGCACUUAACUUCUCUGUGCCUCGGUUACCUCAUCUGUAAAAUGGGGAUUAAAGCCUCCUCCUUCCAGUUUUAAUUUAGAGCUCCAUUUGGGACAGGGACUGAGUCCAACCUGAUAAACUUGUAUCCUGCCCCGUGGGGGCCUGACACAGACUAGAAACACGUUCACACCCUCAGCUGGAAACUCAUCAGGGCCAUGGUUCCCACCACGCCCAUAAAAUAAUAAUAAUAAUGGCAUUUGUUAGGUGCUUACUAUGCGCCAAACACUGUUCUAAGCACGGGGGCGAGGAGGAUGGGUAUACGAGGUGAUCUGGUUUCUCACGUGGGGCUUACAGUCUUAAUCCCCAUUUUAAUAAUAAUAAUAAUGUUGAUAUUCAAUAAUAAUGUUGGCAUUCGUUAAGCGCUUACUAUGUGCAGAGCACUGUUCUAAGCGCUGGGGUAGAUACAGGGUCAUCAGGUUGUCCCACAUGGGGCUCACAGUCUUCAUCCCCAUUUUACAGAUGAGGUCACUGAGGCACAGAGAAGUUAAGUGACUUGUCCACAGUCACACAGCUGACAAGUGGUGGAGUUGGGAUUAGAACCCACGUCCUCUGACUCCGAAGCCCAGGCUCUUUCCACUGAGCCACGCUGCUUCCCUACUUAAUUUACUCUGCUGCUUAAUUUACUGUGAUUAACUUGUGCCAAGCACUGUUCUAAGCAAGGGGGUCAUCAGGUUGUCCCACGUGGGGCUCACCGCCUUCAUCCCCAUUUUACAGAUGAGGGAACAGAGGCACAGAGAAGUUAGGUGACUUACCCAAGGUCACACAGCUGAGAAGCGGCGGAGCGGGAUUAGAACCCACGUCCUCUGACUCCCCAGCCCGGGCUCUUUCCACCGAGCCACGCUGCUUCCCUCCUUAAUUUUCUGGGCUGCUUAAUCUACUGAGAUUAAGUGGUCUCGUUUCUGUCCGUCUGUCUCCCCCGAUGAGACUCAGAGCCCGGUCUCUGUUGUCGAAUGGUCCCUUCCGAGCGCUUAGUCCAGUGCUCUGCACCUAGUAAGCGUUCAAUCACUCCUCCCGACCGCUAGGGGGCGGCCGCCG